This 209-nucleotide ribosomal RNA is filed under the name Shimwellia blattae. RNAcentral's name for it is "partial 16S ribosomal RNA". It matches the Rfam family "Bacterial small subunit ribosomal RNA", at positions 467 to 675 of the family's 1533-position model. The record is from RNAcentral. Lineage: Bacteria; Pseudomonadati; Pseudomonadota; Gammaproteobacteria; Enterobacterales; Enterobacteriaceae.
AAUUGACGUUACCCGCAGAAGAAGCACCGGCUAACUCCGUGCCAGCAGCCGCGGUAAUACGGAGGGUGCAAGCGUUAAUCGGAAUUACUGGGCGUAAAGCGCACGCAGGCGGUUGAUUAAGUCAGAUGUGAAAUCCCCGGGCUUAACCUGGGAACUGCAUUUGAAACUGGUCAGCUUGAGUCUCGUAGAGGGGGGUAGAAUUCCAGGUG